AGUUGUAAUCUGUAGAGGAUGUUUCUGGCAAGGCGCCGUCCGAGUUCCCUGGAACGGGACGCCGGAGAGGGUGAGAGCCCCGUACAGGCGGACGCCGAGCCUCUGUGAAACUCCUUCGACGAGUCGAGUAGUUUGGGAAUGCUGCUCAAAGCGGGAGGUAAAUUUCUUCUAAAGCUAAAUAUAGGCCAGAGACCGAUAGCGCACAAGUAGAGUGAUCGAAAGAUGAAAAGCACUUUGAAAAGAGGGUUAAAAAGCACGUGAAAUUGUUGAAAGGGAAGCGCCUGUGACCAGACUCGCGCCCGGCGUAUCAUCCGGCGUUCUCGCCGGUGCACUACGCCGGGCUCGGGCCAGCAUCGGUUCUGGUGGGGGGAUAAAGGCGGCGGGGAUGUGGCUCCCCCGGGAGUGUUAUAGCCCGCCGCUCAAUGCCCUCGCCGGGACCGAGGACCGCGCAUUGCAAGGAUGCUGGCGUAAUGGUCACCAGCGACCCGUCUUGAAAACACG
Molecule: ribosomal RNA, 501 nt
Filed under: fungal endophyte sp. DM204
Lineage: Eukaryota; Fungi
Description: eukaryotic LSU rRNA
Rfam family: Eukaryotic large subunit ribosomal RNA
Source: RNAcentral